This 1593-nucleotide long non-coding RNA is filed under the name Helianthus annuus (common sunflower). RNAcentral's name for it is "hypothetical non coding rna". Lineage: Eukaryota; Viridiplantae; Streptophyta; Magnoliopsida; Asterales; Asteraceae. The record is from RNAcentral.
AAAAUUCCCUUUGUUGCUCUCUUCCCGGCCCUAAAUCUCCCCCUCGAAGGUUCCGGCACUAAGGUUUCCGGCGUGAAGGUGGUUUCCAGCAUGAAAGUGGGUUCCUGCGUGAAGAUUUUUUCCGGCAUGAUGCCUUUUUCAGACGUGAAGCUUUUUUCUGGUGUGAAACUGGUUUGCGACUUCUUUGCAACAGUUUACACAUAAGGAAAGUUUGCAAAACAUUAGAGGAGGAUGCUUUAAGCCAAUUUUGCAUCACUAUGAUGGUCCCAAGUUUCGGCUUGAGCUGUCUAUCCCUAAGAUAGCAAGGAAAGUUUUGGAUGCGGCUACGCAUUGUGUGUGAUAACCGAUGAAAUCUGGUGUUAACGACGACAUUUGCUCAGGUUCCGGCCAGAUUAAGGUUCCGGUUGAUAUUUGGUCAAGCUCUUUUGUCUUGCAGGUCUGAUCUUAGAGGUGACGUUGGCCGCCGAUGAAAGGGGAGGUGGUGUUCGACAGUUGCAACGGUACAAGUCAGGGGAUCUCACUCACUCUCUCUCUCUCUCUCUCAUUUUGAGGGGGGGGGGGGGGGUAUUUAAGAAUGUAAUCUGUUUUGUAUUUUUUGGCUUGGUAUACCUGUCGAAUCUAAUCCAGUGAGUGAUGCUAUUUAUUUUUAAAACAUUUUCAUCAGUUUCUCUAACUAGCGUAAUUCAAUAGACAUGUUGCUGAUGUGUAAAUUUUAUAUCGUUUUAGAGAAUAGACGAGAGAGCAACUACGGAAGUUUUCCUAAAGGUUCUGGAUAAUUACAUCAAAUGGUGCAAAUAUCUACGUAUACGUCUUGUUUAGAAUAGGUAUUUACUUGCACUGGUAUUUUCCUAUUAUAUUUAUCAUUCCUCAUGCUUUGCUAAUUUUAAUGAGAGAUUGUUAAGUGUAUCAAAGUCGGUUCCAGUCAUUUUUGCCAUUUGGUAAAUAUUUGUAGUUGGAUGUGUUUGUAUUGAUAAAGGCCUAUUGAUGUAUAUAUUUGGAAAACUGGAAAUAGCAGCAAAACUGGGAAUAGAAAUACAAUGGAAUUUUUUUUUUACUUUUAGUGGCGACAAAUGUCGUCGCUAACGAUCAAAAAUGUCGCCGCUAAAAGUCAUUCACAAUAGCGACGACACACCCUUUUUAGCAACGACAGGCGACCAAUAGCGGCCGAUCUAUAGCGGCGACCCUUUAACGACGACAUGUCACCGCUAAAAGGUGCCUGUUUCUUGUAGUGAAUUAGGUGUUUAAGAUUCAGAGAGACUAGUUUAAUUUUUUGCUUAUUUCUUGAUUAGUGGAUCAUGAUUUGUCUUUUGAAUAUCAUCUAUUCUUUUUAUAGUUUCAGCAUGCUAAGUGUGACAUCUUUGAAAUAUCAACUUCCUUAUAUGUAGGAUUAAUAUAAUGAAUCUCUUGAAUAAGCUAUUUGUUGUAUUUGUUAACUUUGGCAUCUAUGAGACACACAGAUGUCAUCGCACUUGUAAGUAGGACUUGCACUUAUCUAAUGUAUCCACUACUUUUGUAUAAUGCUUAAAACAAAAAGAAACGAAAAAAAAAAAAAAAAAAGAAUACCGGCGAGGCUAGCCACAAUUUCCAAACUAC